GGUAUAGCUCAGUGGUAGAAUAGUUGUUUAGCAUACAUGAAGCCCUAGGUUCAAUCCCCAGCACCA
This 66-nucleotide transfer RNA is filed under the name Marmota monax (woodchuck). Its description in RNAcentral is "tRNA.Ala". Lineage: Eukaryota; Metazoa; Chordata; Mammalia; Rodentia; Sciuridae. The record is from RNAcentral.